This is an RNA transcript of Dreissena polymorpha, 4402 nucleotides long. It is a transcript of the gene named MAM domain-containing glycosylphosphatidylinositol anchor protein 2-like, with no coding region annotated. Lineage: Eukaryota; Metazoa; Mollusca; Bivalvia; Myida; Dreissenidae. The record is from RefSeq and is a predicted model, not a curated record. The transcript has 11 exons.
UCAACGAGAGUAAACACAUUUAAUCUGUGUUCGAAUAUUAAAUCAAGUUUGUCAUACUGUUGAUGUACGAUCUUUAUCAAGUAUGCGUUUCACAAAUACGGUUUGAAUUGAAAAGUAGCACUCUUGAGUAAAAGUCUAGGAUUUCUAAACAAGUUAUAGUUGCAAGUAAAAAUUUGAAUCACAAUUAAUUACUAGUGGAUUAUGAUGGAACCACAAACAAAACGCCGCCGGAAUAGAAAACUUCCAAAGUUCUGGAUAAUAGUUAUUGCAUUAAUAUUUGCCAAUUUUGGGUUUCUUACAUACAACGUAUCCAUAUUGAAGCCAUAUCCUGCGAAUCUUCUAGUCUUACAAUCGGCUGAUUUACUGUUAACCACCACCAAGCAGAUCGCGUUGCCAAAACAGAUACAAUCAACGCAACAGGGGCUUACCAAACUCAACGGCUAUCAACUCGCAGACAGGGUUCGAAAGAAAUGUGGUCCAACAGCAGAAUUCUAUCCCCAUGAGGCCAAUGAAGAUUUCUGGAUUUCCCGUAUGCAUUUGAUUCCAAAUGACAACGGACUAUACUGCCCCGUUGAAAAAGUCGGAACAACGUUCUGGCGCAGGUUUAUUUAUCAGACUCUGAAUACGAACAAGUUCCGGCAUCUAUACCAAGUCCCAAUUUGGCUGGCGUUGUCUGAAAAUUAUCCAUACCCAAGCAAGGGCGCGACCAGGCAAAAUAUCAGCGAGUAUUUUAAGUUCAUGUUCGUCAGGGACCCUUACCAAAGAAUCUUUUCCGCUUAUGUGGACAAAGUGUUCGUGCCCAACCCUAUGUUCUGGGAACGGUUCGGCAAGCCGUCGAUCCAGCUCUUUCGUGAAAACGACACUCGUCGCUGUUUUCAUGAUGCGUCGUUUUUGGAAUUUGUCAGAUUUGCCACGUGGGCGGAGGAAAACAAACAGAUGCUAGACCAGCAUUUUAUGAUGGCAACAGAGCUUUGUAUUCCGUGUAUAACGAACUACACAUUUAUUGGAAAGAUGGAGUCAUUUGGGGAAGAUUCUACCGUCAUAUUUAACAAGUUCAGCAAGAUUUCUUAUACAACGGAAAUUAAAAAGCGAAUGAAAGAUUUAGCAAGUUUGGACGCAAUUGUUGACAGCAUUAACAGUCCUUUUGAGUGGAAGCAGGAUAUUCUUAAGUGUAUGACAUGGUACGAGGCCUUAAAGAGGAUAUGGCGGAAACUUCAAAUACGUGGACUCAUCGACGUAAAUUAUCCGUUACCGCUAGAUGCGACGGCGUCCGAAAACGUUGAUGUGAAAAGAUUUACAAAAUUGGCAACUGAGGCACAUAGAAAGUCUGAUCAAAAGGUCUUAAAUUCUCAGAAAAGGGCAUUGUUUAUUGAGCUAUACAGAAUGGUCCCUAUUGAAGAUUUAAAGAAAUUAAGUGCUGCCUUUGAAAGGGAUUUUUACAUAUUUGAUUACAAUUCUAUGCCUCAUGAAUUAUUUAAUCGUUCCUAGCACUGGCAUGAUUUAGAGAUCACUAUUUUACAACAUAUAUUUUUAUCGGUUACACACGUACGUUAUAAACAUUAUUUUUUGUCGAAAAUAUAUUUCCUAUUUGUUAAUCCGUGUUCAAUUGUCGCUCAAUACACAUACGGUCACCAAUCAUCAAAAUAUUCCAUGACCCGCUCGUGUAUCUUUCAUUGGCUUUCUUGCUGUGUAUCAAGUCUAAACAUUCAUAAAAUGCGUGUUUUUUUUUUGUAACGCGCCCUUUCAUUAAAAUUCUUUGAAAGUUUACUCAACACGGAAUCAAACUCUGUCUUUAAGUCUAUAAAAAGCAGGCGUUAUUGUUUAUGGUAAAUAUUGAACUCAAGAAUGUCAUAUAAAAUGGUGACAACAGUGCUAAUUAACAUCGGCCGAAAACCAAACUGUGCAUAUGUUUGUAUUUUUUUCUUCGGCAUUAUUUUCGACAAGCUUGUUUGUUUAAAAACAUCUAUGGUUCUGAAAACUAUUGUAAAAUAAUCAUGCCUUUAAAUCAUCGUGCAGCGUUUAGUAAAUUCAGGUGUGGUGUAGCACAACUUAGUAUCGAAACGGGGCGUUAUGAAAAUUUAGAUGUCGAUGACCGCAAAUGUCCAUUCUGUGACUCGAUUGAAGAUGAGUCUCAUGUUCUGUUUCAGUGUUCUGUGUACAGCCAUAUAACACAUGUUCUUAUCCAGAAAGCCUGUAUAGUUAAUCCAAACUUUGAAAAUAUGUCAAUGUUAGAGAAGACUAUUCUUGUGUUCUCCGACCCACUUUUGAAAAGAAUAACUGCCAAAUCCUGUUUUGAAAUUCUUAAAUUACGCUCAUUUUAUCUAUGUAAAUAACUAGAUAGAGGCUUUUUAACAACCUGGUCAACAAGUAUUUUAUUCAUCUAUGUGUAAUACUUUGUAUUUUAAUCUUUGAGUAAUUGUACUCAAGAUGGUUGUAGAUAUGUAUAGUUGGUUUUAAGGUUGUAUAGUAACUGAUGCUCUCUAUUUCCUAGCAAUAUAAACUGGAAAACUAUGAUGUAUCAAUAGCUGACGUGUGUCUUAACACUUUCUUCUUCAACACCAAAUUCUUAAAUUAUCCAGUGUCGCCUUGUUUUAGUACCAUUAAAACGUCAAGUAGCCUUAUGUAGGCCAACAUCUUCUUUUUGUCAUGUUUUCCAGUUUUCCUAUUAUGUGUACUAUGAUUAGCAAUGGUUAAUGGCUUUGAUUGUACAGACAAUAUAUGGUGAUAUGUAUAUAUAUAUCAAAGUCUCUUUUUAAGGCUUUUGUAUAGUGGUCAUAUGCAAUGUAUCAAUUUUAUGAAUCUUAAAUGACAUUUUUACAGUAUAUUGUAUAUGCUGGGACUACAUAAUCUAAACUUGCUUCCUAGCACAUUUGAAUGUUAAUGAAGGAACGAUGGCUCUGCAGGGCUUAAAAGUCGAUAUUUUAAUGAUAGGGUCGAAGGAGUUACUUCCCUUCAAUCUGAUAUAGAGCAAUUGUCUACAGUCUGAUAACUGAUUGUAAGUUUGUACUAGGUUAGAAAAAUAUAUUAUCACCACUAAUCAGCUUAUCAUGGUAUGCCAUGAUGGUGGAAUGUUUUCUCGUGGUGGUUAACUAUUUAUGAAAUAAUGUCACAAUUCACAAAGUUGGAUAUUUUUUGGCAACAAAUUUGUAUGACAAAUAGUAAGAUUGGUGGUGGCAAUAUAGCUUUUAACAUGCAUAUUGAUUGUCAUGUAAAGUACAUUGAUAAGCUGUAAAAGUCUUUUAUAACUCAUUUUGUGAGUGGCCAAUGUUUUAUCUUAUUGUUUUAUAUAUGCAAAACUGUGAUAAAUUUAAAUAUUGGAUGAGACUAUAAUAAAUAAAUAAAUUCUGACAUGUUCAGAACGCCGGUUAAAAGGUUACCAAAUUUGCUAAGAAGAGAUGUCCCACUGAAAUCGUUAGCCUUACUUCUGUUUUCUUUCCUUAAUAAUGGCACGACAAAACCGUAAUACCAAGCUUUCGGAAAAUAACCAUAAUGAUACACCCUAUUGAAGCAAUACAUGAUAUAACCUUUGAAUAUAUUACCGGUAAACCUUUUGACAAUGCAUUAAUGCAUUACAUGAUCAACUGGACAUGUAGAUUUGCCUUCACAAUUUCGUUCGUCGUAAUAGGAACAUUCAAUGAUAAGAAAGUAGGGUAUUAACUUUGAAAUCAAUGGCCUCGUUAAAACUUUUGACAUCGUAUAAACGUACACCAUUUUCAUCAUUUUGUAAAUUUGACAAAUACUCUCAGAAUUAUUUUGGUAAUGUGCUGCUGGAUCUCUUAUUACCUGUCGAUCGGAACGCUUUGGAUAGCUAGUCUGGCCUCUAGCAGAAGCAAUCUUGACGACUUUCCUGCUGUUCAGAACAAAUUAAACUGUACUUUCGAUGCUGAUUUGUGCCAAUGGACACAAGCGAAGAACGAUGAUUUUGAUUGGACGCGACACACCGGAAGUACGCCUACUGACGGAACUGGACCAACUACCGACCACGGUGGAUCAGGAUUUUAUCUAUUCAUCGAGACGUCGGCUCCGCGCGCAUUGGACGAACAAUCAUUUCUGAUAAGCCCUUUUAUUGAUACCUGGAACCACGUAACGAUGUGCUUCCAGAUGUUCUACCAUGCAAACGGGGCCUCGCUGGGCGAUCUGCACGUGUCUUUGGAAACUUCCGGUUACGUUAACAGCACCGUGCAGGAAUUUUCCGGACCUCUGAAUAGCAGCGACACGUGGGAAAAGAUUGCGUUCACAAUUAGACCGAUCUCUAAAUUCCAGAUAAGUAUCAGAGGGACGGUUGGCAACGGUUUCCUUGGUGAUAUCGCCAUUGAUGACGUUUCUGUGGCGCCAGGAGCGUGCCCACCGUAAACAUUUAUUCAUCGACAUAUUUAUUUCGAAAAUAAAUGGCUUUUUAUGA